Molecule: long non-coding RNA, 827 nt
Organism: Cyclopterus lumpus (lumpfish)
Lineage: Eukaryota; Metazoa; Chordata; Actinopteri; Perciformes; Cyclopteridae
Exons: 2
Source: RefSeq, a predicted model, not a curated record
CAGAACAACACCGCUGCUCACCAUAGCGAUGAGCUUUCAGCAGCAACAACAACAAAACAAAACUCCUCCAUUGAGUCUGUUAAAACAUGAACGUAUGAGACGUUUCAGCUCAAAGGCUGCAGUUGUACAUCCGGGCGGUUUCCAUGACAGCAAGGAGAGACACUCCCUCAGAGGCAUUCCAACCAUGUCGGCCUCGUCGACUGAAGCAAGUCAGGACCCGACGGGGGCUUUUGAGACAUGACGAUGCCAUCGGACGUGAUAACACUGUGUGGAGUCGGCAACAUGUGAAGUCAUCAACCGAGCCCAACGGCCAUGAAUGUGUGGGUGUGUGAACGUUCAUGUCAGCUAUGCUUUGUGUCAUUUCGACUACAGGACUGACGUCUAAUGUUCAACCAGCAGGACGUCUGCAGGGUUAAUGAUUAUCACAACCUGAAAGUGGUUUCGUUGCGGUUGAAUAUUUCCUGUUUCCUGCAUAGAAACUGUAACUGCAUUAAUGUGCAGGAGCAGUCAGCUGACCUUGUUUUUAUUUAAUAUUUGAGUUGAAUAAUUAUAAUAAAUGGAUUAUGUACUGCUUAAUCAAUCAAGUCAACUCCAAAAGAACAGAAAAUUAAGAAGAACAGGACAACACUGUAGUGAAAUACACCUCCUCGCCUUAUUUUCUGUGUGGCGGUUUGGUUUCAAUGGGGCGUGUGGAAUUAAUUUGGUUAGUGCUGAAUAGAUCCUUCUAACAUAUGUGUUUAAUCUAACUGUGACACAUUGAAUUCAUACAUAACAAGUAAAUACAUAUAACAUUUUUAAUAAUAAUAAAUGUAUUGUAUUUCACUUCA